GGAGUAAAAGUCGUAACAAGGUUUCCGUAGGUGAACCUGCGGAAGGAUCAUUAUCGUACAAAAUGUGAGGGGCAUGCGAGGGCUGUCGCUGACCCAAAAGCCGUGCACGCCCGAGUGUGUCCUCUUGCAUAAUAAUCCAUCUCACCCUUUGUGCAUCACCGCGUGGGCACCCUUCGGGAUCAUCUCGGAGGGGGGCUCGCGUUUUCACACAAACCCCCCUUUUAAAAGUGUAGAAUGACCACAUUUAUGCAAUCAAUACAACUUUCAACAACGGAUCUCUUGGCUCUC
RNAcentral lists this unclassified non-coding RNA (288 nucleotides) under plant metagenome. RNAcentral describes it as "partial contains small subunit ribosomal RNA, internal transcribed spacer 1, and 5.8S ribosomal RNA". The stretch from base 1 to 53 matches the Rfam family "Eukaryotic small subunit ribosomal RNA", at positions 1779 to 1831 of the family's 1831-position model. The record is from RNAcentral.